Molecule: ribosomal RNA, 250 nt
Filed under: uncultured bacterium
Lineage: Bacteria
Description: partial 16S ribosomal RNA
Rfam family: Bacterial small subunit ribosomal RNA
Source: RNAcentral
GACGAACGCUGGCGGCGUGCCUAAUACAUGCAAGUAGAACGCUGAAGGAGGAGCUUGCUUCUCUGGAUGAGUUGCGAACGGGUGAGUAACGCGUAGGUAACCUGCCUGGUAGCGGGGGAUAACUAUUGGAAACGAUAGCUAAUACCGCAUAACAGUAGAUAUCGCAUGAUAGCUGCUUGAAAGGUGCAAUUGCACCACUACCAGAUGGACCUGCGUUGUAUUAGCUAGUUGGUGGGGUAACGGCUCACCA